Molecule: long non-coding RNA, 665 nt
Filed under: Equus caballus (horse)
Lineage: Eukaryota; Metazoa; Chordata; Mammalia; Perissodactyla; Equidae
Description: lncRNA (ENSECAG00000043159.2)
Source: RNAcentral
UACUUCCCUCCUUCAGUUCCUAUUUGAGGAAACUGAGGCUAUGAGCAUCUGUCCCAAAUACACAGAAUUAGUCCUGGGCUUGGACCCAAGUCCUGCAGUAGCAGCCACUACCUCUGACAGGCAGAUCUGUCCUCAAAACAAAGCAGGGCUCUCAUCACGGAGCUGGGACAGCCUGCCUGCCUGGUUGAGAGGCAGAAAUGGCUUCAUGGGAGCUCAGCACAUGCUUGUUCCCUCAGCCAUGUGACUUUGGGAAACUCACCAAAACCUCUCUGGGCCUCACUGGCUCAUUUGUCAAGAGGCGAUGCUAACCUGUGCCGUCUGCAUCGCGGGGUUCUGUGAGGGCCUGCUGAGAGAAGCAGAAGCCCAGGAGACAGAAAGCAGACAGGCUACAAUCCCGUCCGGGAGCCCUGCUCUGGAACCAGGACCUGCCCCUGCACGGGGUCCAAGCGAGGCCCACGGUCCACAGAGCCAGACCCUGCCCCGAACCGAUGGCCAAUCCUAGAAGACAAAAGACAGAGAGAUGGUCUUCCUGAACCAGGAACCCCAGAGAAAAUUUCCAAGAGGAGAUAUCCUAACUGGAGGAGGAAAACAGGGAAGAAGGAUGCUCCAGGGAGAAGGAACAGUGCAGCCCCAGGAGCAGAGGACACGGAGGAGGCUGCCUGUGG